Long non-coding RNA from Tupaia belangeri chinensis (Chinese tree shrew), 460 nucleotides. RefSeq lists it as uncharacterized. The record is from RefSeq and is a predicted model, not a curated record. The transcript has 4 exons. NCBI's taxonomy places the organism in Eukaryota, Metazoa, Chordata, Mammalia, Scandentia, Tupaiidae.
UGAUGGGAUCUGCUUCCACAUCAGCUCUCUGUGCUAGCUCAUGUGUCUCUGGAACUUUAGAUCUCAUUUGUGACAAAAUGCAACUUUGAAGGAGAUAUUUUCAGAUGAUAGAAUCACUUCUUUCCUCCACAUUCUUCCCUGCUCAGAAUCUUCAGUGUCACUUGUACUCCAUAUGAAAGACAGAUAAGGGCUAGCCAGUAGUAUGCUACUGGGGCAGAAUAAUGGUGUACAUAUGAGGGCAGCUUCUGGAAUGCUGUAAAGAUUUUGAUGGAAAAUCAUGAAAAGUUCUCAACUCUAAGGACCUGUCUAUUGGUGAAAAACUGAACAAGGUGCUGAUUUAUAGCCUCAUCUGAAUUGAGCACUAUACCAUGCAAGGAGUUUUGAAAAGAGCAAAACAAGUGGAAGUCUGAUGGUGCAAGGUCAGUGCACGCACGUGCCCUACAGCAAUUCCCCCCCCUCA